RNAcentral lists this ribosomal RNA (255 nucleotides) under uncultured bacterium. RNAcentral's name for it is "partial 16S ribosomal RNA". It matches the Rfam family "Bacterial small subunit ribosomal RNA", at positions 99 to 354 of the family's 1533-position model. The record is from RNAcentral.
CGGACGGGUGAGUAACGCGUGGGUAACCUGCCUCAUACAGGGGGAUAACAGUUAGAAAUGACUGCUAAUACCGCAUAAGCGCACGGUUUCGCAUGGAACAGUGUGAAGAACUCCGGUGGUAUGGGAUGGACCCGCGUCUGAUUAGCUGGUUGGCGGGGUAACGGCCCACCAAGGCGACGAUCAGUAGCCGGCCUGAGAGGGUGAACGGCCACAUUGGGACUGAGACACGGCCCAAACUCCUACGGGAGGCAGCAG